RNAcentral lists this ribosomal RNA (378 nucleotides) under uncultured eukaryote. Its description in RNAcentral is "partial 18S ribosomal RNA". It matches the Rfam family "Eukaryotic small subunit ribosomal RNA", at positions 592 to 976 of the family's 1831-position model. The record is from RNAcentral.
CAAUAGCGUAUAUUGAAGUUGUUGCAGUUAAAAAGCUCGUAGUUGGAUUUCGGGACGGGCCAGUUGGUCCGCCGCAAGGUGUGUUACUGACUGGUCUGUUCUUCUUCGCAAAGACUGCGUGUGCUCUUCGUUGAGUGUGCGUAGGAUUUACGACGUUUACUUUGAAAAAAUUAGAGUGUUCAAAGCAGGCUAUCGCUUGAAUACAUGAGCAUGGAAUAAUGGAAUAGGACUUUGGUCCUAUUUUGUUGGUUUCUAGGACCGAAGUAAUGAUUAAGAGGGACAAUUGGGGGCAUCCGUAUUUCGUUGUCAGAGGUGAAAUUCUUGGAUUUACGAAAGACGAACAACUGCGAAAGCACUUGCCAAGAGUGUUUUCAUUAA